RNAcentral lists this ribosomal RNA (407 nucleotides) under Acidobacteriota bacterium. Its description in RNAcentral is "Acidobacteria bacterium partial 16S ribosomal RNA". It matches the Rfam family "Bacterial small subunit ribosomal RNA", at positions 355 to 776 of the family's 1533-position model. The record is from RNAcentral. Lineage: Bacteria; Pseudomonadati; Acidobacteriota.
UGGGGAAUAUUGGACAAUGGACCAAAAGUCUGAUCCAGCAAUUCUGUGUGCACGAUGAAGUUUUUCGGAAUGUAAAGUGCUUUCAGUUGGGAAGAAGUCAGUGACGGUACCAACAGAAAAAGCGACGGCUAAAUACGUGCCAGCAGCCGCGGUAAUACGUAUGUCGCAAGCGUUAUCCGGAUUUAUUGGGCGUAAAGCGCGUCUAGGCGGCUUAGUAAGUCUGAUGUGAAAAUGCGGGGCUCAACCCCGUAUUGCGUUGGAAACUGCUAAACUAGAGUACUGGAGAGGUAGGCGGAACUACAAGUGUAGAGGUGAAAUUCGUAGAUAUUUGUAGGAAUGCCGAUGGGGAAGCCAGCCUACUGGACAGAUACUGACGCUAAAGCGCGAAAGCGUGGGUAGCAAACAGG